UUUAGCUUCAUAUGUUGCACAUUUGUUACUAAACAUUUCUAUUUACAGGAGUUACUUUGGAAACCAAGGGACAAGCAACUUCUCUCUGAGGCUGGCCGGUAUCCGACGUGCUAUGGAGGCUCUGACAUCCUCAGACAGUACCUCCCUUAAUUACCUCACCCACGCUGGGAGGAUGGUGUUGAGUGGACUGUCUGAGCUCAACCAGCAGAUCAACCACAUCAAUUUCACAGAUGUAUUUUAUGAAUUCGUUCUACUGAGCCUUCUUGAAGGAAAAAAAUCUAUUCC
Molecule: non-coding RNA, 285 nt
Organism: Oncorhynchus mykiss (rainbow trout)
Lineage: Eukaryota; Metazoa; Chordata; Actinopteri; Salmoniformes; Salmonidae
Source: RefSeq, a predicted model, not a curated record